Molecule: ribosomal RNA, 730 nt
Filed under: uncultured bacterium
Lineage: Bacteria
Description: bacterial SSU rRNA
Rfam family: Bacterial small subunit ribosomal RNA
Source: RNAcentral
AACAGGAUUAGAUACCCUGUAGUCCUAGCCGUAAACUAUGUAUACUUGGUGUAAUUGGAAUCAACCCCCGAUUGUGCCGUAGCUAACGCGAUAAGUAUACCGCCUGAGGAGUACGCCCGCAAGGGUGAAACUCAAAAGAAUUGACGGGGACCCGCACAAGCAGUGGAGCAUGUGGUUUAAUUCGAUGCAACGCGAAGAACCUUACCCAGGUUUGACAUGCGGAUGACAGUACUAGAGAUAGUAUCUCCCUUCGGGGCAUCUGCACAGGUGCUGCAUGGCCGCCGUCAGCUCGUGCCGUGAGGUGUUUGGUUAAGUCCAGCAACGAGCGCAACCCUUAUCAUUAGUUGCCAACACUUAGGGUGGGAACUCUAAUGAGACUGCCUGGGUUAACCAGGAGGAAGGUGAGGAUGACGUCAAGUCCGCAUGGCCCUUAUAUCUGGGGCUACACACGUGCUACAAUGGUCGGUACAGAAGGCAGCGAAGCCGAGAGGUGGAGCAAAUCCCGAAAGCCGAUCUCAGUUCAGAUUGUAGUCUGCAACUCGACUACAUGAAGACGGAAUUGCUAGUAAUGGUGGGUCAGCAACACCACCGUGAAUACGUUCCCGGGUCUUGUACACACCGCCCGUCACAUCAUGGGAGUUGGUUUUACCCGAAGCCGCUGGCUCAACCGCAAGGGGAGAGGCGUCUAAGGUAAGGCUGAUGACUGGGAUGAAGUCGUAACAAGGUAACC